This 447-nucleotide ribosomal RNA is filed under the name uncultured bacterium. RNAcentral describes it as "partial 16S ribosomal RNA". It matches the Rfam family "Bacterial small subunit ribosomal RNA", at positions 331 to 792 of the family's 1533-position model. The record is from RNAcentral.
CCAGACUCCUACGGGAGGCAGCAGUGGGGAAUAUUGCACAAUGGGCGAAAGCCUGAUGCAGCAACGCCGCGUGAAGGAAGAAGGGUUUCGGCUCGUAAACUUCUAUCAACAGGGACGAAAGAAAUAACGGUACCUGAAUAAGAAGCCCCGGCUAACUACGUGCCAGCAGCCGCGGUAAUACGUAGGGAGCGAGCGUUGUCCGGAUUUACUGGGUGUAAAGGGUGCGUAGGCGGCCCUGCAAGUCAGAAGUGAAAUCCAUGGGCUUAACCCGUGAACUGCUUUUGAAACUGCAGGACUUGAGUGGAGUAGAGGUAGGCGGAAUUCCUAGUGUAGCGGUGAAAUGCGUAGAUAUUAGGAGGAACACCAGUGGCGAAGGCGGCUUACUGGACGGCAACUGACGCUGAGGCUCGAAAGCGUGGGGAGCAAACAGGAUUAGAUACCCUUGUA